Molecule: ribosomal RNA, 427 nt
Filed under: uncultured bacterium
Lineage: Bacteria
Description: partial 16S ribosomal RNA
Rfam family: Bacterial small subunit ribosomal RNA
Source: RNAcentral
UGGGGAAUAUUGGACAAUGGGCGAAAGCCUGAUCCAGCCAUGCCGCGUGUGUGAAGAAGGUCUUCGGAUUGUAAAGCACUUUAAGUUGGGAGGAAGGGCAUUAACCUAAUACGUUAGUGUUUUGACGUUACCGACAGAAUAAGCACCGGCUAACUCUGUGCCAGCAGCCGCGGUAAUACAGAGGGUGCAAGCGUUAAUCGGAAUUACUGGGCGUAAAGCGCGCGUAGGUGGUUUGUUAAGUUGGAUUUGAAAUCCCCGGGCUCAACCUGGGGACUGCAUUCAAAACUGACUGACUAGAGUAUGUUAGAGGGUGGUGGAAUUUCCUGUGUAGCGGUGAAAUGCGUAGAUAUAGGAAGGAACACCAGUGGCGAAGGCGACCACCUGGACUAAUACUGACACUGAGGUGCGAAAGCGUGGGGAGCAAACA